AAUUAUACACAUGUUCGAUUAGAAAUUAUAAUCGUUUUGUAAUUAGAAAUCAUCUCGUUUCACGUUCACAUUCCUAUGAAGAAAAGUGCAAGUAGAGACGGAACGUUACUUGUCAGGCGUGACUCGCUUGUACUCCUUCCUUCUUCAGUAUCCUCCCUUCCUCAUCCCGCAGCCUGCCACCACCUUUUCGUCCUCUAUCGCCUUCUCCUCGUCCUUCACCUCCUCUUGAUCCUCUAUCGUCCCUCUCUUGCCUCUCUUGUGGCUCUCCCUCCUUUUGAACCCUUCCUCCAUCCUCCCUGUCCCCACCUCGCUUGCCUGCCGGCUGCACGCUCACAUGCAACGAGCCAGACCGGCCGGCUGGCACUCAGUUGCCUUUAGCGCCGUGCAUCUCCGAGUCAGUCAGUCAGUCAGUCAGUCAUUGAGUCAGUCAGUCGAGCGAUCGAGAGUUGACCGUUUGAACGCGAAACAACCAAAGAGGAGUGCAUUGAACGAAACCAAAUCGAUACCAAAAGAAGAGGGGAAGUUAGCUCGAUUUAGAGAAGGAA
This 545-nucleotide unclassified non-coding RNA is filed under the name Apis dorsata (giant honeybee). Its description in RNAcentral is "uncharacterized LOC116185480, transcript variant X4". The record is from RNAcentral. Lineage: Eukaryota; Metazoa; Arthropoda; Insecta; Hymenoptera; Apidae.